CUACGGGACGCAGCAGUGAGGAAUAUUGCACAAUGGGGGGAACCCUGAUGCAGCAACGCCGCGUGGAGGAUAACGCAUUUCGGUGUGUAAACUCCUUUUAUAUGUCAAGAAAAUGACGGUAGCAUAUGAAUAAGCACCGGCUAACUCCGUGCCAGCAGCCGCGGUAAUACGGAGGGUGCAAGCGUUACUCUGAAUCACUGGGCGUAAAGGACGCGUAGGCGGGUUGGAAAGUCAGGUGUGAAAUCCUACAGCUUAACUGUAGAACUGCACUUGAAACUUCUAAUCUAGAGUAUGGGAGGGGGAGAUGGAAUUAGUGGUGUAGGGGUAAAAUCCGUAGAUAUCACUAGGAAUACCUAAAGCGAAGGCGAUCUCCUGGAACAUUACUGACGCUAAGGCGUGAAAGCGUGGGGAGCAAACAGGAUUAGAUACCCCUGUAGUC
RNAcentral lists this ribosomal RNA (439 nucleotides) under uncultured bacterium. RNAcentral describes it as "partial 16S ribosomal RNA". It matches the Rfam family "Bacterial small subunit ribosomal RNA", at positions 339 to 795 of the family's 1533-position model. The record is from RNAcentral.